Molecule: transfer RNA, 72 nt
Filed under: Camelus bactrianus (Bactrian camel)
Lineage: Eukaryota; Metazoa; Chordata; Mammalia; Artiodactyla; Camelidae
Also listed under: 2 other names
Rfam family: tRNA
About the family: Transfer RNA (tRNA) molecules are approximately 80 nucleotides in length.
Source: Rfam by way of RNAcentral
GAGGGUACGGCGAAGCGGUGGAGCGCGUGCUUAGCAUGCACGAGGCCCUGGGUUUGAUCCCCAGUACAUCCA